CUCACUCUUGUGUAGCUGAUGUGUCACUUAUCUUCCCUUUCUUAUCAUGGAUCAGGCUUUGAGCUAUGAAAUGCUCUGUCUUAUGAAUAUGCAAAUAUGCUGAUAUCCACGGCGGUAAAUAUGUUCUGUGCUCUGAGAACAUCACUCAACAACUGCAUCCAACCUCAAGAGAAGCCCCUGAGAGCACAGCUUCUCACCAUGGACUUGACCUGGAAGAUCCUCCUCUUGGUGACAGCAGCCACAGGUGCCCACUCCCAGGUGCAGCUGGUGCAGUCUGGGGCUGAGAUUAAGCAGCCUGGGGCCUCAGUGAAGCUCUCCUGCAAGGCUUCUGGAUAUACCUUCACUAGCUACUACAUGCACUGGGUGAGACAGGCCCCUGGACAAGGCCUUGAGUGGAUAGGACUGAUCUCCCCUUACAAUGGUAACAAAGGCUACGCACAGAACUUCCAGGGCAGAGUCACCAUAACUACGGACACGUCCACGAGCACAGGCUACAUGGAGCUGAGCAGCCUGAGAUCUGAGGACACAGCCGUGUAUUACUGUACAAGAGACACAGUGUGAAAACCACAUCCGGAGAGUGUCAGAAACCCCAGGAAGGAGGCAGCUGUGCUGGCAUGGAGGAGAUGACAAAGAUUAUUAGAUUGAAGACUUUCUUAGAAAAUGACAUUAAGACAUUAAAGAAAAUGACCAAUAUCAAUGUGUAUUUGAGAAAUUUCAGUUAUUUGAGAUACUUAUCAUACAAAAUUUAUUCUGUAAGUAAAUUUCAGGGAUUGAAGAAUGAAUAAAAUUAACAAAUCUGAUACAGAACUUCCU
This is a non-coding RNA of Chlorocebus sabaeus (green monkey), 813 nucleotides long. The record is from the annotation of a RefSeq genome assembly. NCBI's taxonomy places the organism in Eukaryota, Metazoa, Chordata, Mammalia, Primates, Cercopithecidae.